AUCAAUAAGCGGAGGAAAAGAAACCAACAGGGAUUGCCCCAGUAACGGCGAGUGAAGCGGCAACAGCUCAAAUUUGAAAUCUGGCCCCCGGGUCCGAGUUGUAAUUUGUAGAGGAUGCUUUUGGCGAGGUGCCUUCCGAGUUCCCUGGAACGGGACGCCAUAGAGGGUGAGAGCCCCGUCUGGUCGGACACCGAGCCUCUGUAAAGCUCCUUCGACGAGUCGAGUAGUUUGGGAAUGCUGCUCAAAAUGGGAGGUAUAUGUCUUCUAAAGCUAAAUAUUGGCCAGAGACCGAUAGCGCACAAGUAGAGUGAUCGAAAGAUGAAAAGCACUUUGAAAAGAGGGUUAAAAAGUACGUGAAAUUGUUGAAAGGGAAGCGCCUAUGACCAGACUUGGGCCCGGUGAAUCAUCCAGCGUUCUCGCUGGUGCACUUUGCCGGGCACAGGCCAGCAUCAGUUUGGCGCGGGGGAGAAAGGCUCUGGGAAUGUGGCUCCUCCGGGAGUGUUAUAGCCCACUGCGUAAUACCCUGCGCCGGACUGAGGUACGCGCAUUGCAAGGAUGCUGGCGUAAUGGUCAUCAGCGACCCGUCUUGAAACACGGACCAAGGAGUCGUCUUCGUAUGCGAGUGUUCGGGUGUCAAACCCCUACGCGUAAUGAAAGUGAACGCAGGUGAGAGCUUCGGCGCAUCAUCGACCGAUCCUGAUGUUCUCGGAUGGAUUUGAGUAAGAGCAUACGGGGCCGGACCCGAAAGAAGGUGAACUAUGCCUGUAUAGGGUGAAGCCAGAGGAAACUCUGGUGGAGGCUCGCAGCGGUUCUGACGUGCGAAUCGAUCGUCAAAUAUGGGCAUGGGGGCGAAAGACUAAUCGAACCUUCUAGUAGCUGGUU
This 882-nucleotide ribosomal RNA is filed under the name Akanthomyces dipterigenus. RNAcentral describes it as "partial large subunit ribosomal RNA". It matches the Rfam family "Eukaryotic large subunit ribosomal RNA", at positions 42 to 956 of the family's 3401-position model. Lineage: Eukaryota; Fungi; Ascomycota; Sordariomycetes; Hypocreales; Cordycipitaceae. The record is from RNAcentral.